GGAGAGAUGGCUGAGUUCGGUUGAAGGCGCUCGACUCGAAAUCGAGUAAACGGUGUUGAGCCGUUUCGUGGGUUCGAAUCCCACUCUCUCCGCCA
This 95-nucleotide transfer RNA is filed under the name Bacillota bacterium. RNAcentral's name for it is "tRNA-Ser". It matches the Rfam family "tRNA". Rfam says of the family: Transfer RNA (tRNA) molecules are approximately 80 nucleotides in length. Their secondary structure includes four short double-helical elements and three loops (D, anti-codon, and T loops). The record is from RNAcentral. Lineage: Bacteria; Bacillati; Bacillota.